GAUGAACGCUAGCUACAGGCUUAACACAUGCAAGUUGAGGGGAAACGGCAUUAAGUGCUUGCACUUUUUGGACGUCGACCGGCGCACGGGUGAGUAACGCGUAUCCAACCUUCCCAUGACUAAGGGAUAACCUGCCGAAAGGCAGACUAAUACCUUAUGGUCUUCACUGACGGCAUCAGAUGUGAAGUAAAGAUUUAUCGGUUAUGGAUGGGGAUGCGUCUGAUUAGCUUGUUGGCGGGGUAACGGCCCACCAAGGCAACGAUCAGUAGGGGUUCUGAGAGGAAGGUCCCCCACAUUGGAACUGAGACACGGUCCAAACUCCUACGGGAGGCAGCAGUGAGGAAUAUUGGUCAAUGGGCGAGAGCCUGAACCAGCCAAGUAGCGUGCAGGAUGACGGCCCUAUGGGUUGUAAACUGCUUUUGUAUGGGGAUAAAGUCAAUCACGUGUGAUUGUUUGCAGGUACCAUACGAAUAAGGACCGGCUAAUUCCGUG
Molecule: ribosomal RNA, 492 nt
Filed under: uncultured bacterium
Lineage: Bacteria
Description: partial 16S ribosomal RNA
Rfam family: Bacterial small subunit ribosomal RNA
Source: RNAcentral